Delphinapterus leucas (beluga whale) is the source of this 2305-nucleotide non-coding RNA. The record is from RefSeq and is a predicted model, not a curated record. NCBI's taxonomy places the organism in Eukaryota, Metazoa, Chordata, Mammalia, Artiodactyla, Monodontidae.
AUCCGUAUAAUUCGUGAUAACCUUUGAAAUGAGGAGAAAGAGUCUUGCAGGGAUGUGGGCGCACAUUCCAUGAGGAACCUGGUUUAAACCUUGUUGCGCCUGGUGGAAUGGCGGGAAAGGAGUUCCAGCAGCAGAGCAACCUGGGGCCGUCCGUAUAAUCCGUGAUUCCCGGUGAAGUGAGGAGGAGGAGUCUCGCAAAGGUGCCGGGGUGCAUUCCAUGGGGAUCCUGAUUUAACCCUCGUUGCGGUAAGCAGCACUUCUGUGCUAAAACCUAGAGGUGUCACCACGGGAACCUGUGCAACGGGGCUAUACCCUCACCUUCCGACUUUUUCUCGGGGAGCACGAGCUUCGACGCCCUGAGAACUGGCUGCAUUUCCUGCUCCAAUGGCUCGGCCCUGGCCGCACCCAUAUGCUGUCGUGAUUCAGCUCGAUGGGUGUCCCAUGGUGGAAUCUGCAACUUUGCAUGUCCAGCGUUUGAGCGUGUGCUUCAAUCGAUGAUGACCCCCACUAAUGCAUUCCUUGGAAAUCUGAACAAAAUGAGUGAGAAAUCUCUGUCGUCUCUUCCUUGGAACUGAGGUCCAACACGUGCCUCCCAAAAGGAAAGUAGGGAUAGGUUCACGUUACAUUUGCUCCCGUGGGUGUCCACAGCCACGCUGUUUAAGUUGAGGCUUUUGGCCAUCUGAUGGGGAGAAAAGGCAUUGGGAAAGGACCCUGGGAUGCCAAUCCAUGUGGGAAGGCUAGGGACAGCAUGCCGUCUGUGGGCUCCUUGGUCUAGCCAGGACUGCUGUCCCCUGCCACGGUUUAGCAUUCGGGUAGGAGAGAAAUCGUGAGCCCUUGGUGGUCCUCUCGCCUGCACUUGAGUUCUACAGGCCGCUCCCACCGGCUACUCGUUGCCUUGUGCCCGCAAAGAAACAGAAGUCUGUAUGCUUAGUUGCAGAGCAGGAUUCCAAGCCUAGGGCAGGGUUCUUUGUCAUGUUCUGUUUGGGAGACCAGAUGCAGUUUAGGUUUCUCCUGAUAAGGGGAGAAAUCAAAUGGGCCGUUGUCCCCGGGAGGUUGGCCAAGCUGAUGUCUCCUCCUAGGGUUGUUCCCUGCUUGUGUAUGCUGUGUGAUGGGGCUAGAAAAUGCCUUCAUCAAGCUUCAUCACCACAAGCUUCUUUGGUGAGGGGUGGCUGUGGCAUCUUGCCAUGACACGUUGGGAUCCCGGUGGAGAGAGAAAGGCAAAGCGAGUGAAAAAGACACGUGAGAUGGCUGCCUAAGCCCACAGGUUUACUGGUGGGUGGAUAGAUCGACAGUGGCCAAAGGGUUCCCGGAACACAGUUGGGAUUCCCUCCGGAGCAUUUGGAGGCAUGUGUAGGGAUGGAACAUGGGAGCACAUUUGUGGACUGUCCCGCCUUUUUCCUCUCCUUUGUUGAUUUGCUUCAUGGCAGGUUCCUGUGCCAGUGAAUGGUUUCCUUCCUGGCACAGUAUGUUGUCUUCUCAUGGGGGUCGAUUUGGAGGCCGUGGGUUGUUUUGUCCCUGUCUAUCCACGUUCCCCCUGUGUUGAAGGUGUGAAGGUGUUUCUCAGGUCAGCCCAGCAUCAUUCCUAUACCCAGACCACAUAGCAUUCCAUUAGGUAUUUAGCUCUUCCCGGAGGUUAGUGGGCGCAACCAUGUGGAAACAAGGGAGUCGGCUGCCAAGGAAAGUCUACAGUUUUAUGGGCAGGAAAUGGUGUGUGGUGUCGGGGUCAUUUUGUCCAGCUGCCCGCUUGUGCUGUGAGCCUUUUUUCUCCAGUGUGGCUGGCCUCACGCCAGACAAGUUAUGCAGGUUCAAGUGUCCAGGCUGUUGGCUGGUUCUCUCAUUUCACACCUGUGUGUGACCUGUUGCUUCUGGAGGACCUGGUUCUCACAUCUUCUCCAAGGUCUUGUCACUGACGGGUCCAGAGUGUGAAAGUGCAAGGCACCACAGCAACUUACUCAGUUGCUGCAAGGGUUUGCCCUGGUAAUUUGGGCCUCUGAAUGGCUCCUAUGCCAUUAGCUUUGCCUGUUGUCCAAGGGAAGCUCCUCUGGCUUGUCAGGAGGGCUGGAACUAUGCUUGCUCUUGAGUCCCCCUUGGUCAGUCCAGGGGUUCCUUAGGUGCCCUUUGUCAUGGGUCACUAAGAGCCGCUUUUAAUGGAGGUCAUCACAUUAGGCUCAAGGCCGUUCCCUUGUGGAAUAUCUCAGGGCCGACAUUUCCCAUUGAGGGUGAGUCCAUUAAGUGAAAACCUAUAUGCCAAGAGCGGGUUUGUUCUCUUGGAGGGCAGUGGCUCUUAGACUGAGGGAUCCCAUUU